CAGCAGCCGCGGGAAAACAGAGGGUGCAAGCGUUAAUCGGAAUUACUGGGCGUAAAGCGCGCGUAGGUGGUUCGCCAAGUUGGAUGUGAAAUCCCCGGGCUCAACCUGGGAACUGCAUCCAAAACUGGCGAGCUAGAGUAUGGUAGAGGGUGGUGGAAUUUCCUGUGUAGCGGUGAAAUGCGUAGAUAUAGGAAGGAACAUCAGUGGCGAAGGCGACCACCUGGACUGAUACUGACACUGAGGUGCGAAAGCGUGGGGAGCAAACAGGAUUAGAUACCCGUGUAGUCCCUGUCUCUUAUAC
This 301-nucleotide ribosomal RNA is filed under the name uncultured bacterium. RNAcentral's name for it is "partial 16S ribosomal RNA". It matches the Rfam family "Bacterial small subunit ribosomal RNA", at positions 509 to 807 of the family's 1533-position model. The record is from RNAcentral.